GUGAUCGCUUUGGCAGCACAUAUACUAAAUUGGAAUGAUACAGAGAAGAUUAGCAUGGCUCCUGCACAAGGAUGAUAUGCAAAUUCAUGAAACGUUGACUAUUAGA
Cricetulus griseus (Chinese hamster) is the source of this 106-nucleotide small nuclear RNA. NCBI's taxonomy places the organism in Eukaryota, Metazoa, Chordata, Mammalia, Rodentia, Cricetidae. The record is from Ensembl.